CUCUUGUAGAUCAAAGGACCCUUUAAAGAGGGAGGAGCUGAUUCCCCUGGAAAUAACUUCUGCUCAGCACAGGGCUUUCAUGUAAGCCCCAGCUUAGUGUGCAGUUAUUGGAUUUGUAUGAAGCUUUUCACACAAGCAGCUUCAGAGAGAACGAAGUCACCAAGUGAAAGAAAUGGAAAAUCAAAAGAUGAUAAGAUAAAGGCAUCUCUGCAGCUGACUUGAUCUGGGUCCAUAAAAACCUGCAUGGGGAGAUUUGUGAGAGGAUGGGGUUCCUUCAUCUGUCACACGAAGACACUACGUGGGGCAAGGCGUGGAGGUUCAAGUUUGCAAACUUAGAGCUGGAAAGCAGGCACUUGUUUUUAACUGGGAGACCAACUGUUGUAGCAGUAACUUCUCUUGAGUGAUGGAGCUGGGACUCUGAAAAGCCUUGAAAAGCAACUCCAGAAGUCUGAUGCUGUUAGGAAGCAGAUCCUGCAGGGCUGCGCAAGCAUCAGCUCAGGAGAAUGAUUUUUCCUGUGGCUUCCAGGAUGGAUGUCUGUGUAUAUAUGAGGCACUUGUGUAAGUACUACUCGUGUUUCUGCAUCUUGUCUUCAAGGUCAGGCAGCAGCUUCUGCUCUCGUGCAGGUCCUGUGCUGACGAAUGGGAGAACUGCUAAUGUAGAGGUCAGAAAACAAACAGAACUAAUCUGAAACAUUAAGCUGGCUGUGCAAAACAUGUUUUCCUAGUCUGCACACUGCAGAGCCAGUGUGUCAUGAAAGAUUGAAACUUUUUCCCUAUCUCACUCAUAAAAAAAUAAAUAUCUACAUUUCUUGUGAGAAAGGUGACCUCAGAUUUAGCUGUCUCAGGGAAGGAAUGCCAAAUUGGAAGAUCACCUGUCAUGAUGUCCUUUUGCUGAUUGCUGUCUUAAACUGAGCAUUUUAUAAAUGCUGAUGGGGAUUUGCACCAUCAGCCUCUCCACUUUAAGGUAAUAUUUCUAGAUAUAUCUUCCAAGACAGUGCUGGAUGCUGCUGUGUAAUUUGUUGUUUUCUGGCUACGGCUUCGUGUGUACUCCUGCUCAUGUGAUACUUCAUAAUUACUCCUUGUUUGUGGUUGCCUGGUUUUGUGUGUAGUCCCUCGAGGGGUGAUGAGCCUAGAAGGCACAAACACAGGCUUUGCAAAGGGAAUUUUAAACUACAUUUUCUUCAUUGCUGCACAGUGCUACGGAGUUAGAAAUCUCUUCAAAACACCCAGAGUCCUUAUAUGCAAGUGCUUUCAUCUGAUCUUGCCUUUUUCAUAGUCUGAAAUUGUGCCUGGGUACCAAAUCUGACAGCCUGGCCAUCCUUCUCCAGCAAGCUCUCUCUGCAUGUGACAGUAGAUGCUACCCUCGAGCCGUCUCACUAAUCAUCCUCCACAUCCAGUCUCUCUCCUCUUUGAUGUACGCCCGAGCUGAACAGCUGGAGCUCAUCCUUGCACUUGGCUUUUGGGUAGAGAGCUCAUGGGUGUUGUCGUGACUAAAGGCAACAGAUGCUGUUUCAUGCGCAGAUGUGACUGCGCUGUGGCUUUCUCCUCGUGUUCGUUCACGAUGACAAUCACAAUGUUAACACCUCUCCCAGAGCUGAUGCUCGUUUCAGGUGAAGUUCAUGGAUUGACUGCAUUGUCCUGAUUGACUUCUCAGCACGGAUUGCGGAUCAGUGCUCAGCUGCCUAUGCACAGGUACGGAAGGUGGAAGGGAAUUAUAACGUAGUGCAAGCUCACUCUGCUCUAUCACACAGCAUUGUCUCUCCACCAAACCCUCCCCACUCCUUGACAGGACUGGUACCAAGAAAUUGCACAUCCCUAAUUAGUCAGUUCAAUUGAUACUACUGGUACCAACAAACAACCAGUAUCCUGACUUACGGGCAUGGAAGUCCUGCAGUUCUGGCAAGCUGUUUCAGCGUUCCCUGUUGCUGAAGCACAAGAAAAAAGCAAAAACCCAGAAUCAGUAUGAUCCUGUUUUGUCUGUCAAGGGCCCCUGUGAUCACAGAGCAUAUUUCUCACCCUGCUCAACAUUUGCUGCGGGAAGAACUGACACAAGUUGGCAAGGACAGCACCAGCCCCUCCUUCCCACUCCUUACCCAAGCAGUACCAUGAGCAAAUUCAAAUACUCUUUGAUAAAGUGAACCAAGAUGUGAUCACAGCAAAACCCUGGUGCUGUUUUGCAUUCCUCCCCACAGUGUUAAUGACAGCCUGUGGUGUGAGGCGAGGCGAAGCCCAUCCCUCAGAGAAGCUGAGCACGUUGCUAGGGCAGAUCUAUACGGCUUCCUGCUUCCACUGAUGGAAUUGUGUUUUACCUCGGCUCCCCAGGGGCAGCAGGGACCUGGCUGAGGACGUAAUCUACAAGCCAUGUGUGGUAUAAUUUAAUAUUCGUGCUAUGGUCCCAGGAUUAAAUUGGUGCCUGAUGCCUACAACUCAGAUUGGAUUUGGUGGAAGUGAAAGGCUCUUGGUCCUUCUGGGAGCGAGCCCAGCACACAGCGAGGUAUCACACAGCACAGUUAGCGGGCAUGAUGCAUGCGUGAGUGCCUGUGGUUUAAUGGGUGGCUGCACAGAGAUAUUCCCUGUGCUGCUAUUUGGAUGCCCACCAUGCCUACAGUUAAGAACUCGGGAAAAAAAAUAUCAUUUUUCAUGAUCUCUUAUAUCCAAUGAGAAGAGGCAUCUUUCCAUUAUAAUUUGCCUUACAAUGAUGCUUCUUUCUACCAUAUAGAACAUGAUUUCCAGAAAAGUGUAAGUCCUUACUCAAGACAUCUUACAAUUCAAGGAGAGGCACAGAGAGAGAAUAGAAAAAAGGAAAUGAGAAAGAAUGGGGAUUUUUUUGUGGUUGGUUGCAGAUGGUUUGAUUCAGCAGGAUGGAAGACAUUGUGUGGCGAGGGGGCAGGAGCUGGAGUUGCCCGUCUAAUGCCCAGUCCAGUCUUGUGUUUCUUUGUGAGCUCGCUGUGAUGAGCUGUCUCGAAGUAGUGUUCACAAAGGAUAUAAAUAAAGAUGUGACUCAGUCUUGCAGUCUCUGUCCCACCUCUGCUCACGAGCUGCCUGCUGGUGGACCCAACACACCAGCAACACCCACCAUUGACAAGCUUGUGUCUGAGCAGCAGUUCAAGUGUUUUCAGAGAACAGGGGAUCUUUUGGCUUUUUGGGUUGGGAAAUCAUGGCAAUAGCUGUUUUCAAUGUUGAAAAUGUUCACAUGUGGUCCCUGACCAGGAAGGGCUUUUCUUGUAUUUCCAAGGAAGUGGCAGAGUGGAGGUAAAUAGA
Long non-coding RNA from Cygnus olor (mute swan), 3261 nucleotides. RefSeq lists it as uncharacterized. The record is from RefSeq and is a predicted model, not a curated record. The transcript has 3 exons. Lineage: Eukaryota; Metazoa; Chordata; Aves; Anseriformes; Anatidae.